UCGGGAAUUUUGGGCAAUGGGGGAAACCCUGACCCAGCAACGCCGCGUGAAGGAUGAAGUAUUUCGGUAUGUAAACUUCGAAAGAAUAGGAAGAAUAAAUGACGGUACUAUUUAUAAGGUCCGGCUAACUACGUGCCAGCAGCCGCGGUAAUACGUAGGGACCAAGCGUUGUUCGGAUUUACUGGGCGUAAAGGGCGCGUAGGCGGCAUGACAAGUCACUUGUGAAAUCUCUGGGCUUAACCCAGAACGGCCAAGUGAUACUGUCGCGCUAGAGUGCAGAAGGGGCAAUCGGAAUUCUUGGUGUAGCGGUGAAAUGCGUAGAUAUCAAGAGGAACACCUGAGGUGAAGACGGGUUGCUGGGCGUGUAUUGACGCUGAGGUACGAAAGCGUGGGGAGCAAACAGGAUUAGAUACCCCUGUAGUCCCUGAGCGGGCUGGCAAGGCGCAU
This 447-nucleotide ribosomal RNA is filed under the name uncultured bacterium. RNAcentral's name for it is "bacterial SSU rRNA". It matches the Rfam family "Bacterial small subunit ribosomal RNA", at positions 355 to 825 of the family's 1533-position model. The record is from RNAcentral.